UACAGAGGUGGCAAGCGUUGUUCGGAAUUACUGGGCGUAAAGGGCGCGUAGGCGGUCUUGCAAGUCCUGUGUGAAAUCCCUCGGCUCAACUGAGGAACUGCACAGGAAACUGCUUGGCUUGAGUUCGGGAGAGGGAAGCGGAAUUCCGGGUGUAGCGGUGAAAUGCGUAGAUAUGCGGAGGAACACCGAUGGCGAAGGCAAUCCCCUGGACCUGUACUGACGCUCAUGCACGAAAGCGUGGGGAGCAAACAGG
Molecule: ribosomal RNA, 253 nt
Filed under: uncultured bacterium
Lineage: Bacteria
Description: partial 16S ribosomal RNA
Rfam family: Bacterial small subunit ribosomal RNA
Source: RNAcentral